Molecule: ribosomal RNA, 411 nt
Filed under: uncultured Paracoccaceae bacterium
Lineage: Bacteria; Pseudomonadati; Pseudomonadota; Alphaproteobacteria; Rhodobacterales; Paracoccaceae
Description: bacterial SSU rRNA
Rfam family: Bacterial small subunit ribosomal RNA
Source: RNAcentral
AAUGAACGCUGGCGGCAGGCCUAACACAUGCAAGUCGAACGGGUCCUUCGGGACUAGUGGCGGACGGGUGAGUAACGCGUGGGAACGUGCCCCUUGGUACGGAAUAGCCCCGGGAAACUGGGAGUAAUACCGUAUGUGGUCGAGAGACGAAAGAUUUAUCGCCAAGGGAUCGGCCCGCGUUGGAUUAGGUAGUUGGUGGGGUAAUGGCCUACCAAGCCGACGAUCCAUAGCUGGUUUGAGAGGAUGAUCAGCCACACUGGGACUGAGACACGGCCCAGACUCCUACGGGAGGCAGCAGUGGGGAAUCUUAGACAAUGGGGGAAACCCUGAUCUAGCCAUGCCGCGUGAUCGAUGAAGGCCUUAGGGUUGUAAAGAUCUUUCAGGUGGGAAGAUAAUGACUGUACCACCAGA